CCUCGUUAAAAACCUUCCUUUGGAAAACCCAGUGGGACAAAACCAAAGGUUAGGAAAAGAGCACACACAAGCUACUUGCCUAGAUGAUGAUCAGCUUGAAGGUGGAGUAGCUUGAAUGAUGGUUAAGGUGUCUUGGAUGAUCAAGCUUCGGCCAAGACUAAUGUAUUCUUCUUGUUUCCAAAUGUUCUUCAAGGUUGCAUCCUCAGCUACAAGCUCUUCAGGUUCAGGUUCAUGCUUCCAGUCCUUGGUGCUUUCCAUGAUCAUAUCAUCCCCUCCCACUUCAAAAAGAUUUGUCCUCAAAUCUGUGUUACCUUGCGAGCCUCUUUGAUCGGCAUUGUCGCUGACUGUUUCUAUUAGGUAGAAGGGACUGAUCCAUUUGGCUUUCCUCACUCCUGAGGCAUUACUUAAACCUGAUACAUUGAAACAAGACAAGUUAACACAAGCAAAAUUAUCAUAGAGUAAGAGUCUUAUCCCAAAGUUGUCUUUUCUCGGUUUUGGCUUGUAUGCUGCAUCUGGAGGUGCUUCUUUGAUGAGGAUGAAGCAAGUGACGUCCUGAUGUCUCUCCUGGCUUAGAUCAGGCGGCUUGAAACGUUUGUCUUCCUCACGCUUGUUCUUUGUCUUUGCAUUCUUCAAAGCUUCCAUAUAAUCUGCACAUGACUCUUUUGGCAAAAACAAGUGCAUCAUAUCUGUGUAAUAAAUAAAAGAACUCUUGUAAACAUGAUUAGUUACCUUAGCAUGCUCACCUGGUCGCCAUAGAUAGGAUUGAGAUGUUCUAAACUCAGAAAAGUUCAGACAAAGCAAACACAGAAUCACCCGACUUGUAGAACCCAUAACUCUUUCAUUUGAGAAGCUUUGGACAUGAUUCCAGUUCGACGUGAGACCCUGAUGAGUGUAGUUUCCAUUGCAGUUGAGUUUGUUGCUUAACUCCUUCUGGUUGCUGAGAUAUGAUCCUCGGACUGCUCCUAUGUCAAAGUUGGCGGCUAGACAGCUUCCAUGAUUUGAUUGUUGCAUCUCCAACUUAGCCAAGGACUCAUCAUGGAUACUCUGAUCAUUAUAGCCCCUUUCUUUACCUGUACCUUUUUCAGCUUGUUUUUGACAAGUCAAGUGUGUUAUCAUGUCAAAGAAAGUGUUGUAGACCAGAAUGUCUCCAAAGCACAAAACAGCAUGAUUCCUCCAUCUAUUAUGCAUAUCAAAAAAAAUAUUGCAGACCCAAAUAUCAUCAAGGAUCAAGUUCAUACAUUCAGAAUCAGUGAACUCUAGUUUCAAUUGUGCAACAGGUUUAUCAAAGAAAGUGUUAUACAUUAGAAUAUCCUCAAAGAACAACCCUACACGUUUAGAAUCAUUUUUAGCACACAAACAAUCAAGCUCAAACUCAAAGAUAUUUGCAGACUUCACAAUUUCAACCCUAACAUCAGAAUGAUGAAAUUUCGGUUCAUGCAACUUCCUAGGUUCUUUCAAAACAUAUGUGGAUGCAAGAAAAUAAUCAGAGAUCAGUUCAUGCCUAGGAAAGUUCACAACAAAACUAUUUUCUUCAGUUCUAGCAAACAAAUCAAAAGGUUUUCUAAAAUAGAACUCGGUUGGCUUAAAAACAGGUUUUAAAAUCUUUUCAUGGUGAUUCAUAAAUUGUUCAAAACUCAAAACAUGACCAGAAAAGUUUUUAUUACCAUAUUGAAAAUAUUUUUGAUCAAAAAGUUUAUCUGGUUCAAGUUCUUUGAAAGAUUUAAGCAUUCUGUCAUAAACAGAGUUUGAAACACAAAAAUCUUUAACCUUUUCGAGACCAAAACGCUUCACAUCCUGAGUAGUAACCACAACAAACAGUUCAGGCACAGAAGUAACCAUAUCAAACUCCUUACAGUGCUUUUGCAGGUCAUAAGACAAGGGUUCAUGAAUAGUUUCUGAUUGCAAGUUUUUAUGCUGUUCCAACUCUUCUCCUUGUGUUGACUGCUCUGGUUCUUUCUCUGCUGAGUCUUCUUUUGCAACCUGUGACACUGAAACAAGGCUACUCGGUUGCACCGGUUUAAGACAAGUUAGCUCAUCACAAGAAUUAUUGAAAUUCAAUUCAGACUGAGGUAAGGAAAGAGAACACUCUUGUUCUGUCUCAGAUUUUUCCUUUUCCAUAGAUGAUUCAGUUUGGACUUCUUGAAUUGUUGCAGCUGAGUCUGGUUCUGCAUCAUUGAGUUCUGAGACAGUAGCAACUGGUUCUUGAUUCUUUGGGAGCUUCUUCUGCUUGUCUAAGUGCUCGCUGGUCUUAAGAAUCUCCUUAACAAGGCUGCUGAUUUCUUUCUCAUAAUCAGCCAUCUUGGUUUCUGAUUUUUCACUUUUGAAGUCUGUUGCGGAUAUGACUUUCUUCUUUGGAGAUUUCAGAGAAGUGUGGCCUUUGGAUGCAUACUUCUUCCUUAGUAGCAACUUCAGAUCUUCCCAAGUGGUGAUAGCUGGUUCCUUGUAGUACCUGCGAUCAUCUUCUUCUUGCAACAACCACUUAAAAACGUUUCCUUUGAGCUGAGACAUCACAUAAGCCAAUGCUUCUCUCUUCAGGAUUUUGUUGUAGCACAGCCACUUCUCCAUUGUUCUUUCCCACUUUAAAUAAUCACCUUCCCCUGUAAAAACAUAAAGUUGAGGCUUAGUGACAAUUUGAUUGUAAGAAGAAUGAAUAUUUGAUUUAGGAGUGCGAGAAGCUUGAUGUGGUCUGCUCGAAGUGUGGGCUGGCUGUUUGUAAGACUGUUGUCCACGUCCUGCUUCCUCUUCCUUAUACCACUUAUGCUUGCUUGACUUGUUUUGAACAGAAUCUGGUGGUCUAGGCUCAAGCUUUUGUUUGUCCAUUCUCUUUUUAUUUUGCUGCCUAAGAUCAUCAGUUUGCUGCAGAAACUUUUGUCUAAGCUCCUUUCGAAAUUCACCCAUGUUGGUAUCCAACAUCUGCUGCAUUUGAGCAUUCAUAGAUUUAAGUAACAGCCUUUCUUCCUUAGUGAGUUUUCCUUUCUGAUCUCCUGCCAUUGUACCUGAGACAGAAAACAACACACAGCAGUAACAAGUUCUACAGAGAAAACAAAAACCAAUUUGCAAAACCAGAAACAGAUUCAAAUUGAAACUUAAAACCUUAGACAAUUCUUAGAACAAAUUCAAAACUCAACCAAUGAUUUAAAACAAAUCAAAACUAAUCAGAACAGAAUUGAUAAAUCUCAAACCUAACAGAUCAGAUUGAUUUUCGAUCUAGACCACAAAAAUAGAGAGAUAGAUUUCGAUUUCAGAUUCAAGAGCAGAUUUUUCAAAAGAAAAAUAACAAAAACGAAAUCAAUCAAACUUGCACUGCAAGGAUCAGGUUUCAAGAGUUCAAACAACACAAGAUCAGAGAUGAUAUGAUAACAGAUGAUAAGAUUUAGAUCAAGUAAGAACAGAUCUAAAACAAUAAGAACAGAUCGGAAUCACACAAACAGAUUUAGAUCAACACAAUCAGAGAACUUGAUCAACAAGGAUCCGAACAGUCUAAUACCCAAAACAAGAUCUAAUCAACCCUAAUUCGACAGAUUCUUACACAAGAAACACAGAUCAACACGAAAUCAAAGAGUAUAUGAAGAGACUUCAACAGAUUCGUGAUCAAAACACUCAGAUUUAUCAGAUUUCAACAAUAGAAACACAGAUCGAUCAAAAUCACAACAGAAUAUGAAGAGAUCAAAUCUAAAAUCAGAGAGAAAAAUCAAACACUUCCCUUCCAGAGUUGCUCUGAUACCACUUGAUGAGAUCCUAGGAUGAUGCUCUGGAACAGAUGGGAUAAUCCUUGCAGAAACGAAUCAAAAGACUCAAGCUUCUCAAGGUAUGUGGAUCGAAUGGUGACACAAGAGGCUGCGGAAAGGCUUCUUGAUACUCCUAGGCUUAGAUCGGAUAUGACACACCUCUCUAAAGCCCUUGGGCGUUGGAUAUUACACACCAACAGACUGGAUAUUACACACCAGACACUCACUCACGACAAGAGAGAAAAGAACCAAAAGGUUUUGAUAAAAGAUUGCUUAAUGAUAGAAGAAGAUGGCUACAAGCUUAUAUAGAGAAGGCUGGAACAGGCUCCACUUCUCGAAUUCAUUAAAGGGAACAGGCUCCCUUGGUAAUCUAAAAACAAGACUAAGACUUAUUCAAAUUUUAAAAGAGUUUCGAAAACUAAAUAACAUAUAAGCAUAGCUUAAAAUAUAAGAUAAGGUCUUCAUGUGGACAGACCAAGAUCAAUCAUCUAGGAGAUAGGAGAAGUAGACUUGUGGCCUCGUUAAAAACCUUCCUUUGGAAAACCCAGUGGGACAAAACCAAAGGUUAGGAAAAGAGCACACACAAGCUACUUGCCUAGAUGAUGAUCAGCUUGAAGGUGGAGUAGCUUGAAUGAUGGUUAAGGUGUCUUGGAUGAUCAAGCUUCGGCCAAGACUAAUGUAUUCUUCUUGUUUCCAAAUGUUCUUCAAGGUUGCAUCCUCAGCUACAAGCUCUUCAGGUUCAGGUUCAUGCUUCCAGUCCUUGGUGCUUUCCAUGAUCAUAUCAAAAAUCAAGCUUCUUACAUCGCGAUUCAUCCUGGUUUGAUUAGAAUGACAAAGAAGCUGUCAUAUUCCCAAACAGGAAAACUGGGAUCACCUGAUUUGAAAGUGGGAUAGCUUCUUCAUCCUAACUCCUAUGAGAUUUAUUCAGCUUCCUGGUGAUUCUCCACUACUUUAUGUUUCAAAAUGAAGCUUCUUACUUCGCGAUUCAUCCUGGUUUGAUUAGAAUGACAAAGAAGCUGUCAUAUUCCCAAACAGAAAAACUGGGAUCACCUGAUUUGAAAGUGGGAUAGCUUCUUCAUCCUAACUCCUAUGAGAUUUAUUCGACUUCCUGGUGAUUCUCCACUACUUUAUGUAUCAAAAUCAAGCUUCUUACAUCGCGAUUCAUCCUGGUUUGAUUGGAAUGACAAAGAAGCUGUCAUAUUCCCAAACAGGAAAACUGGGAUCACCUGAUUUGAAAGUGGGAUAGCUUCUUCAUCCUAACUCCUAUGAGAUUUAUUCAGCUUCCUGGUGAUUCUCCACUACUUUAUGUUUCAAAAUGAAGCUUCUUACAUCGCGAUUCAUCCUGGUUUGAUUAGAAUGACAAAGAAGCUGUCAUAUUCCCAAACAGGAAAACUGGGAUCACCUGAUUUGAAAGUGGGAUAGCUUCUUCAUCCUAACUCCUAUGAGAUUUAUUCAGCUUCCUGGUGAUUCUCCACUACUUUAUGUAUCAAAAUCAAGCUUCUUACAUCGCGAUUCAUCCUGGUUUGAUUAGAAUGACAAAGAAGCUGUCAUAUUCCCAAACAGGAAAACUGGGAUCACCUGAUUUGAAAGUGGGAUAGCUUCUUCAUCCUAACUCCUAUGAGAUUUAUUCAGCUUCCUGGUGAUUCUCCACUACUUUAUGUUUCAAAAUGAAGCUUCUUACAUCGCGAUUCAUCCUGGUUUGAUUAGAAUGACAAAGAAGCUGUCAUAUUCCCAAACAGGAAAACUGGGAUCACCUGAUUUGAAAGUGGGAUAGCUUCUUCAUCCUAACUCCUAUGAGAUUUAUUCAGCUUCCUGGUGAUUCUCCACUACUUUAUGUUUCAAAAUGAAGCUUCUUACAUCGCGAUUCAUCCUGGUUUGAUUAGAAUGACAAAGAAGCUGUCAUAUUCCCAAACAGGAAAACUGGGAUCACCUGAUUUGAAAGUGGGAUAGCUUCUUCAUCCUAACUCCUAUGAGAUUUAUUCAGCUUCCUGGUGAUUCUCCACUACUUUAUGUAUCAAAAUCAAGCUUCUUACAUCGCGAUUCAUCCUGGUUUGAUUAGAAUGACAAAGAAGCUGUCAUAUUCCCAAACAGGAAAACUGGGAUCACCUGAUUUGAAAGUGGGAUAGCUUCUUCUUCCUAACUCCUAUGAGAUUUAUUCAGCUUCCUGGGGAUUCUCCACUACUUUAUGUAUCGAAAUCAAGCUUCUUACAUCGCGAUUCAUCCUGGUUUGAUUAGAAUGACAAAGAAGCUGUCAUAUUCCCAAACAGGAAAACUGGGAUCACCUGAUUUGAAAGUGGGAUAGCUUCUUCAUCCUAACUCCUAUGAGAUUUAUUCAGCUUCCUGGUGAUUCUCCACUACUUUAUGUUUCAAAAUCAAGCUUCUUACAUCGCGAUUCAUCCUGGUUUGAUUAGAAUGACAAAGAAGCUGUCAUAUUCCCAAACAGGAAAACUGGGAUCACCUGAUUUGAAAGUGGGAUAGCUUCUUCAUCCUAACUCCUAUGAGAUUUAUUCAGCUUCCUGGUGAUUCUCCACUACUUUAUGUUUCAAAAUGAAGCUUCUUACUUCGCGAUUCAUCCUGGUUUGAUUAGAAUGACAAAGAAGCUGUCAUAUUCCCAAACAGAAAAACUGGGAUCACCUGAUUUGAAAGUGGGAUAGCUUCUUCAUCCUAACUCCUAUGAGAUUUAUUCGACUUCCUGGUGAUUCUCCACUACUUUAUGUAUCAAAAUCAAGCUUCUUACAUCGCGAUUCAUCCUGGUUUGAUUAGAAUGACAAAGAAGCUGUCAUAUUCCCAAACAGGAAAACUGGGAUCACCUGAUUUGAAAGUGGGAUAGCUUCUUCAUCCUAACUCCUAUGAGAUUUAUUCAGCUUCCUGGUAUGAUUUUAGAGAGUUGAACAGGUAUUGAGAGAUUUAGAGAAAGAUUAAAGUGAGAUGAGAUGAUUUAUGAGAUGUAGAAGAGAAACAUGAUGAACUAGAGAGAGAAUAUGAUGAACUCGUGUUAAUCAUUAAUCAAGACAGAGUUUACAAUAUAUAGAGAGAGACAUCAGAAGCACUAAGCAUGUGAGGUCAAGGAUAAGGUUGCUUUAAUUUGAAUGUAAACCAAUGGGGAAGAUCACACGCUUAUGGCAUCUUUUGGUGAGACUCCUUUUGCCUUUACAGCCUGUGCCAGACUGUCAGGAUAAGCCGCGGUCACUCUAUCCAUCCAAACGGUCAUAUCUCCUAAGGUAAAACCCCUUUGGCCGUUUACCUCUCUUACCCGGGUAACUUCUCUUCUUGGUCGAGUUAUGGAUCGACCCGGACAGUACGGACGGUACGGCCGGUACGGCCUCUUGUACGGCCUGGUCGAUCCCUAACCUUCCUUCCCUUUGCCUCCACAUUCUCACAUCCUCAACUCCCUAAGCCAUCUUCUCACAUAUUGAUCAACUUAUUUCAACACUCCCCCUCAAGCUUAACUUAAUAACGUAGUUAAGCUUGGAACAACCAUGAGAUCUUCCUCAUUAAAAACCUCACCAAGGAAAACCCAUUGGGACAAAACCUUGAUGAGGGAAAAAGAGUGAAGACCUCAUGGCAAAGGGGAUCAGCUCCUUGGGGAAAGAUCUAUGAGCCCCAAUCUGGUAUGAAUGGACUCCAUAGUCUUUUGUCUUGCAGCCUUGGUGAACACAUCCGCAAGUUGAUCCUCACUCCUUGUGUAGCAUGGCAAGAUCACUCCCAAGACAAUCAUCUGCCUCACCUUGUGACAAUCAACUUCAAUGUGCUUGGUUCUCUCAUGGAAGACUGAGUUGGUUGCAAUGUGUAUAGCCGCUUGAUUAUCACAAUGCAUAGUCAUUGGAGUUCCCUGCUCUAUCUCCAAGUGCUUCAAGAUUCCUUUGAUCCAUACCAACUCAUUGGUAAGUUUCAGCAUUGCUCUAUACUCAGCUUCAGCGCUUGAACAAGACACCACCUUCUGCUUCUUACUCUUCCAAGUCACCAAGUUACCUCCAAUGAAUGUACAAUAGCCAGUGGUUGAUCUCCUGUCUGCUCUAUCUCCAGCCCAGUCCGCAUCACAGUAUCCCACCACUUCAGUGCUCUUGUUGCAUCCCAUCCACACUCCAAGGCUUGACGUCCCAUUCAGAUACAAGAGAAGUCUCUCCACCAUGCGCCAGUGAUGAUCCUUUGGGACUUGCAUAUGCUGGCUCACUUGGUUCACCGCAAAGCAUAUGUCUGGUCGUGUGAUUGUAAGGUAGAUGAGCUUCCCUACUAGCUUCCUGUACAGCUUUGGAUCAUGAAAGGCCUUGCUAUCUUCAACCUCCCCCUCACGUGGAACCUUGUAUCCAUCUUCAAGAGGCAUCUUUGCUGUCUUGUCUCCUUGUAUACCUGCAUCUUUCAAAAGAUCAAGUGUAUACUUCCUUUGGGAAAUGAACAAUCCUUCCUUAGAUCUACACAACUCAAUUCCAAGGAAGUAUUUCAUUUCCCCUAAGUCUUUGAUUUCAAACACAGAUUUCAAAAACUCCUUUGUGGCUUUUAUACCAGCCUUAUCACUACCUGUUAUGAUAAUGUCAUCAACAUAUACAAGUAGACAGAUGAUACCUGAAGGUGUAGUGAGGGUGAAGAGGGUGUGAUCCAACUCUGAUUUCUUGAACCCACGCCCAUUCAGAGUAGUGCUCAGCUUGUUGUACCAUGCUCUAGGUGAUUGCUUUAACCCAUAGAUUGCCUUCUUAAGUCUCAAUACAUUCCCUGGUUUCACCAGAUGCUCUAGGCCUGGUGGUGGAUGCAUAUACACUUCAUCCUCUAGCUCUCCUUGAAGAAAGGCAUUCUUCACAUCCAUUUGCCAAAGCUCCCACUCAAGGUUCACAGCAAGAGACAAUACAAUUCUUAUUGUAUGUAGCUUGGCAACGGGAGCAAAGGUAUCAAUGUAGUCUUCCCCAUAUGUUUGAGUGUAUCCUCUAGCCACCAGUCUUGUCUUCUUUCUCUCAAUGGUUCCAUCAGGUAGAUACUUAAUGGUGAAUAUCCACUUGCUGGUUACUGCCUUCUUUCCUUUUGGCAACUCACUUUCAAACCAAGUGUCAUUCUUUAUCAUGGCAUUUGCUUCAUCUCCAACAGAUUCCUUCCAAUCUUGAUGUAGCAUUGCUUCUUCAUAUGAUCUUGGUAUACUACUUUCAUCUAGGCUCAUCAUGAAUGCGCAAUGCUCCUUUGGAUAACAAGCAAAUGAACACACAGCCUGGGAAGGAUGCUCCACAGCCUGGGCAUUGUAGUACACUCUCGUGUUUACCCAGUUGGAAGCAUCUCUCUUCAGCCGUGUGCUUCUCCUUAAUGGUACCUCAGCUGGUGCUUGCUCUGGUGCUUCUACUUCAGUACCUUCCACUCCUCCUUGUUCUGGUAGCUCAUUAGGCUCUUCAUUACUUGGUUCAGCUCCACCUUGAUCAGGAUGAUCCGCAAAAUCUUGAUUCUCAUCCGGCUCAAUUCCAUUCCCUCCCUCAUGAUCAAGGUGAGAUGGUUCUUCAGCUUCUUGUCUUUCAGAUGACUGAUUCUCUGUCGACUCCUGGGACAUUCCAAUUCCAAGACCUUCUAGUAUCUGUCUCAAGCUUGUAGCUCUAUCUGAAGGUUGUGAAAGAUCCUCCAGCUCUUUCCAAUCUUUAUCUUCAUAGUAGCUCUUCUCUUCAAAGAACUUGACAUCUCUUGAUACAAGAACUCUCCUUGACUCAGGAACAAAGCACUUGUAUCCCUUCUGUGUGGUUGAGUAUCCUAUCAUCAUAGCUUUGAUACUCUUUGGUGUAGCCAUGAGUAGAGACAUUGGAGAGCUGAGUGAGUCUGAUGAGGGAGAGCCAGACUUGAGAAGAGAAGAGCCAGACUUGAGCAGAGAAGAACCAGAGCCAGACUUGAGCAGAGAAGAACCAGACUUGAGCAGAGAAGAACCAAAUGAGCUAGCCAGCUUGUGGAGUGGACCAGUAACCAGAUCAAGACUGAGAGCACAAGAGGAGAGGCUCCAGGAGAUAGCCAAAACCGUGGGCCUUGGUUCAAGACAAGGAGAUCAAGAUAAACCAGCUUGUUGGUUUAAUUUAAUUACUUUGUAAGGGUUUUGGUUAUUGGGCUUUCAUUUAAUUUAAACCAAAGACAAUUAGGAUUAGAAUUAGAAUUAAACCACCUUGGUUUAGCAUUAGGGUUUUCGAUUUUCACUUUAAGAACAUGGGGGCUGCAGCCUUGUUUUCUCAACUUUCAAUCUAAGAAUUAUUCAGUCAACUUUGUUGUCUUGUCUCUAGCUUUCUCUGUUCAGCUCUAGAACAUUGAUCUCACUUAAAGGAAGGAAUUCCUGUGAAUCCCAUCUUAGACAAUACAAGGUGAUCUUGUGUCUUUGAGUAGCAAACCAUCCUUGGCGCCAACCCAUAGGCUCAGGGAGACGUCCACAGUUCAAAGGAGAGCUAGUAGCCUCUUAGAACAUCCUCUAUCCAUCCACCUUCAAGUGAUCCAGAGUUUAAGCCAUACCCAGGCUGCACCAAGUGGUAUCAGAGCCACUUGAAGGUUAGGGUUUGCAAUUUGACUACUCAGAUCAUUCAUUCCAUCAAACACUUCUCUUAUCUUUCUAUCUGUUGUAAGCCAGCUGAGCCAACCCUGCAAAUCAAAAAAAAAAAAAAAAAGAAAAGAGAUCUCUGAUCCAAAUCAAAAAAAAAUAUAUAGCUGAAGAGUAAUCCAGCUAGCUGAGGAGAAAUCCAGCUCAGGGUGGUAAAGUCAGCUGGUGCCUAAAUCUCUUAAUACUUCCUAUCUGAUUCAUUGGGGUUUUAGUUCUAGAUCUUAAGUGUAGAACUUUGUUUUUCAACUGAACUUGUGGGAAGAGCUGAGACUUGGCGAUUUGAAAACUUGAGUGAGAGAGAGAUAUAAUUUUGUUCCUGGCUUUGUGUUUUCUCUAACUAUUUCAGGAACAAUGAGUGAAGAGAGGCGAGAUGGAAAGCAACCUGAGAGUUCAGGAGAACCGGCUGUCCAGCAAAUCAACCUCAACCAAGUUCAAUUUGAGGCUAUGAUAGCUGAGAUAACCAGAAGAAUGCAAAACACUUACAACCGUGUUCAACAAGCUAAUGAAACUUUACCUGGUGAUAAUGCAGGGCAAGAGAGGGACGCGGUUGCUGCUGGAGUUCAGAGAGCACGCAUUGGACCUAUAAGAGGGCAACGAGUUGAGCUUAGGGGUCGUGGGAUUUAUGGAGAACAUUAUCAAGAAGAUUCAGCUGAUGAAAGUGAUGAUGGAUCUCAGGCUAGUCAUCAUGGUAGAAAUCACAACCGCAGGCGACCAGCUACUGAUAACCUAGGCAAUCUCAAGCUUAGAAUCCCUCCAUUCCAUGGGAAGAAUGAUCCUGAUGCUUACUUAGAGUGGGAGAAGAAGAUUGAACUGGUUUUCAAUUGCCAACAGUUCACUGAGGAGAGGAAAGUGAGACUAGCAGCUACUGAAUUCUGUGGUUAUGCUAUUAGCUGGUGGGAUCAGAUUGCUACUACCAGGAGACGCAAUGGAGAGCCUCAGGUAGCUUCAUGGUUUGAGAUGAAAACUGUGAUGAAGAAGAGAUUUGUUCCUAAUCACUAUGGAAGAGAUCUACACCAGAAGUUGAGAAGGCUUUCUCAAGGAUCUAAGAGUGUAGAGGACUAUCACCAGGAGAUGGAAACACUCAUGUUGAAAGCUGACUUAGAAGAAGAAGUAGAAGCUACUAUGGCUAGAUUCCAAGGAGGUCUUAACAGAGAUAUACAAGAUAGGUUGGAGCUACAAGAGUAUGAGGACAUGGAUGAACUGCUACAUAAGGCUAUUUUGAUUGAGCAGCAGAACAAGAGGAAGAGCUCUACCCGGUCUUCAUACACCCCUGCCUCAAAACCGGCCUACUCCAAGGAAGAUAAGCCAGGGGAUAAGUCCAAAGAAGGGUCUUCUUCAGUGGAGAACAAGAGAGAUGACAAGGGUAAAGGAGUAGCCACACCUACUAAGACCAGGAACAUUAAGUGUUUCAAGUGUCAUGGCUUUGGUCACUAUGCUAAUGAGUGCACCAACAAGAAGGUGAUGACUAUCUUAGCCGACGGGGAGGUGAUAUCUGAAGAGGAGGACGCCGGCCAAGAGUCUGAUGAGGAAGGCGUGGAGUACCCUGUCCGUGGAGAGCUAUUAGUCACCAGGAGACUUCUCAAUGCUCAACCUAAACCCAAAGAAGAUGAGCAAAGGGAAAACUUGUUUCACACCAGAUGCUUGAUUCAAGAAAAGGUUUGUAGCUUGAUCAUUGAUGGAGGAAGUUGUACUAAUGUAGCAAGUGCUGAGUUGGUGGAGAAGUUGGGUCUUCAAGUGUUCAAGCAUCCUAAGCCAUAUCUGUUGCAAUGGAUCAAUGAUGAGGGAGGAUUAAAGAUCACCAAGCAAGUGAAGGUAUUGCUAUCAGUGGGAAAGUACCAGGAUGAGAUCACUUGUGAUGUAGCACCCCUGGAAGCUAGCCACAUCCUUCUUGGACGUCCAUGGCAGUAUGAUAAGAGAUCAGUACAUGAUGGCUUUACCAACAGAUACACUUUUAUCCAUAAGGAGAAACAAGUUACCCUGGCGCCAAUGACCCCUCAGGAGGUACACCAGGAUCAGAUGCAUCUCAAAAUGAAGAGAGGAGAGUCCAAGGCCGCCAGCAAAUCCUUGCUUCUUGAAGAGACCAGCCAGGUAAGUAAACUCAACCUCUUUGCUACUGCUAAAGAUAUCAAAACUGCUGUGAUUGAACAAUCAAAUUUGAUACUAGUAGUUUACAAAGAAUUGUUGAGCUCUACUACUAACCCUGCUCCUGAGAUUCCAGAGGAGAUUGAGUGUCUUUUGCAGGAGUAUAGAGAUGUGUUCCCAGAGGACAAUCCCAUAGGUCUGCCGCCUAUUAGGGGAAUAGAGCACCAGAUUGACUUUGUACCAGGAGCUACUUUACCAAACCGUCCAGCAUACAGGACCAACCCUGUGGAGACUAAGGAGCUUCAGAAACAAGUCAAUGAGCUAAUGGAGAAGGGACAUAUCAGGGAGAGUAUGAGUCCUUGUGCUGUACCUGUCCUCUUGGUGCCAAAAAAAGAUGGAAGCUGGAGGAUGUGUGUGGACUGCAGAGCCAUCAACAACAUAACAGUUAAGUACAGACAUCCUAUUCCUCGCUUAGAUGAUAUGCUAGAUGAGUUACAUGGUUCAUGUGUCUUUUCUAAAAUUGAUUUAAAGAGUGGUUACCACCAGAUUAGAAUGAAAGAAGGAGAUGAGUGGAAAACUGCCUUUAAAACUAAGCUAGGAUUGUAUGAAUGGCUUGUGAUGCCUUUUGGGCUUACUAAUGCACCUAGUACCUUCAUGAGAUUAAUGAAUCAUGUCUUGAGAGCUUUGAUAGGACGAUUUGUAGUUGUUUACUUUGAUGAUAUCCUGAUUUACAGCAAGACUAUGAAAGAACAUGUUAAUCACUUGAAGCAAGUUCUAGAUGUGCUUAGAAAAGAAAAUCUGUAUGCUAACUAUAAGAAGUGCUCUUUUGGCACAGAUAACCUUGUCUUUUUAGGUUUUGUUGUGACUUCACAGGGCAUACAGGUUGAUGAGGAAAAGGUGAAGGCUAUCAGGGAGUGGCCGAUUCCUAAAUCUAUUGGAGAGGUCAGAAGUUUUCAUGGACUUGCUGGCUUCUACCGGAGGUUUGUGAGAGAUUUCAGUACAGUUGCAGCACCCCUGACUGAAGUAGUCAAGAAGAGUGUAGGUUUCACUUGGGGACCAGCACAAGAAGAGGCAUUUCAAAUGCUAAAAGAGAAGUUAACAAGUGCUCCCUUACUUGCACUUCCUGACUUUUCUAAGACUUUUGAAAUUGAAUGUGAUGCAUCUGGUAUUGGAAUUGGAGCUGUGUUGAUGCAGGAUAAGAAACCCAUAGCUUAUUUCAGUGAGAAGCUAGGAGGCGCCACCUUAAACUAUCCUACCUAUGACAAGGAGCUGUAUGCCUUGGUGAGAGCUUUACAAGUGUGGCAACAUUACUUGUGGCCUAAGGAGUUUGUGAUCCAUACAGAUCAUGAAUCCCUUAAACAUCUCAAAGGGCAACAGAAGCUGAACAAGAGACACGCCAGGUGGGUGGAGUUCAUUGAGACCUUUCCUUAUGUCAUUCACUACAAGAAAGGUAAGGAGAACGUAGUGGCUGAUGCACUCUCCAGAAGGUAUACUCUUUUAUCUUCAAUGGAAACUAAACUCUUAGGAUUUGAACACAUCAAAUCUUGCUAUGCUAAUGAUCCUGAGUUUAAAGAUGUGUUUAGAGAAUCUGAGAAACAUGCUAGUGGAAAAUUCUAUCAAGUAAAAGGAUUUCUUUUCUAUGAUAACCGCCUGUGUGUUCCUAGUGGUUCUUUGAGAGAAUUGUAUGUUAGGGAAGCUCACGCAGGAGGGCUGAUGGGACACUUUGGGGUCGCCAAAACACUCUCCACCUUGCAGGAGCACUUCUACUGGCCGAGUAUGAAGAAAGAAGUGGAGCGUGUGUGCUCAAGGUGUGUCGUGUGCAAGCAAGCCAAGUCUAAGGUCCAACCAACAGGUUUGUAUACACCUCUCCCUAUUCCUACUGCACCAUGGAUUGAUAUCUCUAUGGACUUUGUCUUAGGAUUGCCUAGAACUAGGAAAGGAAGAGAUAGCAUCUUUGUGGUUGUUGAUAGAUUUUCUAAGAUGGCUCACUUCAUACCUUGUCAUAAAACUGAUGAUGCAUCUUUGGUAGCUGAUCUAUUCUUUAGAGAAGUUGUUAGAUUGCAUGGUAUGCCUAGGACUAUAGUUUCUGAUAGAGAUACUAAGUUCCUUAGCUAUUUCUGGAAAACUCUGUGGGGAAAGUUGGGAACUAAGCUAUUGUUUUCAACUACUUGUCAUCCCCAAACUGAUGGUCAAACUGAAUCAGUCAAUAGGACAUUGUCUACUCUUUUGCGUGCCAUCAUUAAGAGUAACAUUAGGACAUGGGAGGAUUGUUUACCACAUGUAGAGUUUGCAUAUAACAGAGCAGUGCAUUCAGCUACUAAACUCUCUCCUUUUCAAGUUGUUUAUGGGUUUAACCCAUUGUCUCCUCUUGAUUUAUUUGCUUUACCUUUAAAAGAACAAACUAACCUUGAUGGCAAGCAAAAGGCCGAGUUUGUUUUGUCUUUGCAUGAACAGGUCAGGAAGAACAUUGAGGAGAGGACCAAGAUGUAUGAGAGGCAGAAGAACAAGGGGCGCAAGGAGCUAGUACUUGAACCGGGUGAUCUUGUGUGGAUUCACAUGAGAAAAGAGAGGUUUCCUGUUGAGAGGAAAUCAAAGUUGCUGCCAAGGAAAGAUGGACCUUUCAAAGUGCUGAAGAGAAUCAACAACAAUGCCUACCAGAUUGAUCUUGAAGGGAAAUACACAAUCAGUUCUACUUUCAAUGUUUCUGACUUGGAUCCUUUUAUUGCAGAUGAUUUGGAUUUGAGGUCAAAUCCUUUUAAAGGAGGAGGGGAUGGUGUAGCCAUGAGUAGAGACAUUGGAGAGCUGAGUGAGUCUGAUGAGGGAGAGCCAGACUUGAGAAGAGAAGAGCCAGACUUGAGCAGAGAAGAACCAGAGCCAGACUUGAGCAGAGAAGAACCAGACUUGAGCAGAGAAGAACCAAAUGAGCUAGCCAGCUUGUGGAGUGGACCAGUAACCAGAUCAAGACUGAGAGCACAAGAGGAGAGGCUCCAGGAGAUAGCCAAAACCGUGGGCCUUGGUUCAAGACAAGGAGAUCAAGAUAAACCAGCUUGUUGGUUUAAUUUAAUUACUUUGUAAGGGUUUUGGUUAUUGGGCUUUCAUUUAAUUUAAACCAAAGACAAUUAGGAUUAGAAUUAGAAUUAAACCACCUUGGUUUAGCAUUAGGGUUUUCGAUUUUCACUUUAAGAACAUGGGGGCUGCAGCCUUGUUUUCUCAACUUUCAAUCUAAGAAUUAUUCAGUCAACUUUGUUGUCUUGUCUCUAGCUUUCUCUGUUCAGCUCUAGAACAUUGAUCUCACUUAAAGGAAGGAAUUCCUGUGAAUCCCAUCUUAGACAAUACAAGGUGAUCUUGUGUCUUUGAGUAGCAAACCAUCCUUGGCGCCAACCCAUAGGCUCAGGGAGACGUCCACAGUUCAAAGGAGAGCUAGUAGCCUCUUAGAACAUCCUCUAUCCAUCCACCUUCAAGUGAUCCAGAGUUUAAGCCAUACCCAGGCUGCACCACUCUUUGCUUCCAGCUUAUUUCUCAUCUCUCCCGGGAUAAGAACAUAGCUUACACACCCAAACACUCUUAGGUGAUCUAGGACUGGCUUGCUGUUGUUGAGAACUUCAUAAGGAGCUUUAUCUUCCAGAAUCUUGGUUGGAAUCCUAUUGAUUAGGUAGCAAGCCGUGAUCACAGCAUCACUCCAGAAUCUCUUUGGCACUCUCAUCUGGAACAUCAUUGAUCUAGCCACUUCCAUAAGAUGUCUGUUCUUCCUCUCAGCCACUCCAUUUUGUUGAGGUGUAUAAGGGCAACUCGUUUGGUGAAGUAUCCCAUGUUGAGCUAGAUGGUUCUUGAAUGCAUGGCCAGUAUACUCUCCACCAUUAUCAGACCUGAAAAUCUUAAUCUUGGCAUUAUACUGGUUAGAAACAUAUGAUUGAAAGUUUCUAAAUGCAUCUAGAACCCUAUCCUUUGUUUUAAUUAGUGUUAUCCAGGUGUAUUUGGAUUUCUCAUCUAUGAAUGUGACAAAGUAUUUGUAAUUGUCCCUAGAUAAGCAUGGAGCAGUCCAUACAUCAGAAUGAACAAGAUCAAAGCAUUUAUCAUAGAUAGUAGUAGAUCUCUUGAACACAGUCUUACAAUGUUUUCCCAAAAUACAAGCUUCACACUCAUUAUUUUUAAACAUGACACCUGGUAACAUUAAGCUUAAGGCUCUAACAUGUGGAUGUCCUAGCCUAGAAUGCCACAAUGCACCUCUACUUAGAACGGAACUCAACAAGCAACUAGAACUAGAAAUGAUAGAAAGGUCUUCAAGUAAAUAAAGGUCUCCUUUGGUUACUCCUUGCCCAAUCAACUUACUGCUUUCAAUAUCCUGAAAUUUCACAUCAUUAGGACUGAAAAUAACAUUGCAUUGAAGAUCAUUGGUGUUGAAAUGAGUUGAUCAAUAUGUGAGAAGAUGGCUUAGGGAGUUGAGGAUGUGAGAAUGUGGAGGCAAAGGGAAGGAAGGUUAGGGAUCGACCAGGCCGUACAAGAGGCCGUACCGGCCGUACCGUCCGUACUGUCCGGGUCGAUCCAUAACUCGACCAAGAGGGAAGUUACCCGGGUGAAAUGGUUAAACGGCCAAAGGGGUUUUACCUUAGAAGAUAUGACCGUUUGGAUGGAUAGAGUGGCUGCGGCUUAUCCUGACAGUCUGGCACAGGCUGUAAAGGCAAAAGGAGUCUCACCAAAAGAUGCCAUAAGCGUGUGCCCCUCCCCAUUGGUUUUCAUUUGAAUUAAAGCAACCUUAUCCUUGACCUCACAUGCUUAGUGCUUCUGAAUACCCUAAUGUCUCUCUCUAUAUAUUAUAAACUCUGUCUUGAUUAAUGAUUAACACGAGUUUAUCAUAUUCUCUCUCUAGUUCAUCAUGUUUCUCUUCUACAUCUCAUAAAUCAUCUCAUCUCACUUUAAUCUUUCUCUAAAUCUCUCAAUACCUGUUCAACUCUCUAAAAUCAUAUGGUAUCAGAGCCAGGUUGGCUUUGGUAUUGAGAUUUAGAGUGUUCUUCAGCUUCAGUUCAUACUCUUUCAUACUUUCUUUUCGGUUCUAACAAAGCAAGAUGGAGGGAAACUACAAGGUCAUUACAGUUCCUGUUGCGUUGAAGGGUGGUAGUAACUACCUGUUGUGGUCAAGGCUGGUGAAGACAGCCAUUGGGAGGCUAGGGCUGUGGAGUCACAUCACGGAUGAUGCAACCAAGCCAGUGGCUAAAGACGGAGAAGGAGAUGAGGGUGUGGGAGAUCAAGUUGCUGCUGCCGAGAAGGCCGAGAAGAAGUGGAUUCAAGAAGACUUGAUGGUGCUUUCCGUGCUACAAGGGUCCCUUGAAGAGCAUCUCUUGGAGGCCUACAGCUACUGCGAGACUCCAAAACACCUGUGGGAGGUACUCCAGAAGACAUUUGGGAACGUUACCAAUCUGAACCGGGUGUAUGAGAUUAAGAAGGCCAUCAACACACUGGUACAAGAUGGGGAAGAGUUCACCAAGCAUUUGGGCAAGUAUAGAUCCUUGUGGUCUGAGCUUGAAUCAUUGAGGCCAAGCACCGCGGAUCAAGAGCUACUCAUGGAGAGGAGGGAGCAGGAUCAGGUGUUUGGAUUACUGCUGACACUAGAUCCCCCAUUCAAUGAUGUGAUCAAGCACAUGUUGAGGAUGCCGAGUCUUCCAUCUAUGGAGGAAGUGUGUGCGCAGAUUCAGAAGGAAGAGGGGUCACUUGGUAUGUUUGGAGGGAAAGGAGACAUGGCUCUGUCCAACAAGGCUGAAGCAAUCCAAGCAAACAAGGCUGCUUACCGUGGAGAGGAAAGGAAGUUCAGUGGAAACUGUGACCAUUGCAAGAAGCCGGGACACAAGAGGAGUCAGUGCUGGAUCCUACACCCCCAUUUGAAGCCGGCCAAGUUCAACAAGGAGAGAGAGGGAAGAGCUCACCUUUCUGCAGAGACAAGUGAAGCUGGCGCAUCAGGAGCUGGCUCAUCUGGUCUUGCGGGUGAAAGUGAAGGAAGAGCCUUAACCUCUCACCACCAAGGAGCUGUGAAGAACAUGGAUCAUGAGGUGAUCAAGAAGUCAGACAUUGAUGCCUUGAUCAAAGCCCUUAAAGAGUGAUACAAGCCUAAGCUAUCAAAGGCUGUACGUUCCCAAGCAAGAGAGAAGGAGCCGAUCUAACACAAGGGUGAUCCGGAUGGACUGAUCUAAUCAACCAAGGGAUCUGAACUGGAACUGUAUGAUGGGAUGAAGUGCACCACACGAGAGAUGGGGAGGCUCGUGAUACAACACAAGGUUCCUCUAGGCCGUGGAGGUACUGGUCUCACAAGGCAAAGAGAAGGAGGCGAGUUCUAGCUUGAGAGCUCUAGGGUUUUCUUUAAAAGAAAAGUUUAUGAUUAUUCAAAGUCUGCCCCAAAAGUGGGCUUGCGAAAACAUAUAAAUAGGACUAAGGGAACAGGCUCCACUUAGGUCACGAAAGUACAAAUAAGGAAACAAACUAUAAUGUAAAACAUGAAAUAAGGUCAUGAGGCUUCUUAGCCUUGGAUCGAACUUGGCACUUGGGAUAAGUGUGAAGCAAGUUGUGGCCUCGUUAAAAACCUUCUCUGGAAAACCCAUUUGGGACAAAACCAAGAGUAAGGGAAAAAGAGCACACACAAAGAGCUUGGCCUAGUUGCUAGAUUCGUCCAAGAGACUUGCUAGGCAAGUUGAUCUUCCAUGGUAAUGAUCAUCAGGUUGGUGUGGCAUUGCUCCGGGAUGAAUGGCCACAUAUCCUCACUUGAUGCUUGUUUCUCCUUAACCGGUUCUGCAUCCUUUAGUUCAUCUUGCUUCAAGCUUGGUUCACCAGCCAGUUUAACCUGUCCAAGAUCAGAAGCAAGUAUCAUGCUCUCAUUAAAUUUAUGUUGAAGUACCUUAGCUCUUUGUCUAGUGAUAGCUCCCUUGAAUACGGUUGGUACUGGCACUUCUUGGACUGUCUCUGAUUUGGUUAUGUUGCUGAUCAUGUCCUGGAUAUCAGGUUCAGUUAAGUCUGGUUCCGGCUCUGGUUGAAUAUCCUCAUCAUUCCCUCCCUCUUCAAAAGGUUUUGACCUCAAAACUGGUUCAUCUGCAAAACAAGGAGAUAGAUCAGUAACAUUGAAAGUAGAAGACACAUUCAACUCACCUGGCAGAUCAAGACGGUAGGCAUUGUUGUUGAUCCUCUCAACAACUUGAAAUGGGCCGUCCCCUCUUGGCUUCAGCUUGGAACUUCUCUGGUUAGGAAACCUUUCUUGCCGCAUGUGUAACCAAACCCACUCCCCUGGUUCAAAUACAAUGUCCUUGCGGCCCUUGUUGGCAUGUUUAGUGUACUGCUCAGUCCUCUUCUCUAAAUUCUCUUGAACCUUCUGAUGGAGUUCUUUGACAUAAGCAGCUUUAGCUUCCCCGGUAAGACUGACAACUUCAGCUGGGGGUAAUGGUUUAAGAUCCAAAGGGGUUUUCGGGUUGAACCCAUAGGCUGCCUCAAAGGGGGACAUCUUAGUGGCUGAAUGCUGAGCUCGGUUGUAUGCAAAUUCGAUGAAUGGAAUACAAUCAACCCAAUUCUUCAUGUUCUUCCCAAUGGUUGCCCUAAGCAGCGUAGAGAGCGUCCUGUUGACAACUUCAGUCUGCCCAUCAGUUUGGGGAUGGCAAGUAGUAGAGAAUAGCAACUUUGUUCCCAACUUCUUCCAUAGUGUUCUCCAAAAGUGGCUGAGGAACUUGGUGUCUCGGUCAGAUACAAUAGUCCUUGGCACCCCAUGUAAGCGCACUACCUCCUUAAAGAACAGAUCAGCAGUUUUGGACGCAUCAUUCACCUUGGCACAAGGUAUGAAGUGUGCCAUUUUGGAGAAUCUGUCCACGACAACAAAGAUUGAAUCCUUGUGAUGAAUUUUUGGUAAUCCUAGGACAAAAUCCAUGGAGAUGUCUACCCAAGGAGCUGUAGGAAUCGGCAGUGGCAUGUAAAGGCCAUGAGGCUGGACUCUAGACUUAGCCUUCUUGCAAGUCACACAUCUGGCGCAAUGAGAUUCUACUGAUUUCUUAAGAUGCGGCCAAUAGAAAUGUUCCCUGACCACAGCAAGUGUCUUAUCUACUCCAAAGUGACCCAUGAGCCCUCCUCCGUGAGCCUCUCUAGUGAUUAGAUCUCUCAAGGAGCAUUGAGGAAUGCAUAAUCUCCUGCCCUUGAAAAGAAAUCCCUCAUGCAAGUAGAACUUUCCUUGUGGUCCUUUGGUGCAACUUGAGUAGAUAGCAGCAAGAUCCGGAUCUUCUCCGUACAAACUUUUGAUGAACUCAAAUCCCAACACCUUUGCUUCCAUGGUUGCAAUCAAAGCAUAUCUCCUGGAGAGUGCAUCUGCUACAAUGUUCUCCUUGCCCUUCUUAUACUUGAUAAUGUAGGGAAAUGUCUCAAUAAACUCUAACCAGCGAGCAUGUCUCCUCUUGAGAUUGGUUUGCCCUCUUAGAUGUUUAAGGGUUUCAUGGUCAGUGUGUACCACGAAUUCUUUAGACAGCAGGUAGUGCUGCCAUGUCUCCAAAGCUCUCACCAAGGCAUACAACUCUUUAUCAUAGGUCGGAUAAUUAAGAGCUGCUCCACCAAGCUUCUCACUGAAGUAAGCCACGGGUUUUCCUUCUUGAAUAAGAACUGCCCCUAUCCCAAUCCCUGAUGCAUCACAUUCUACUUCAAAGGUCUUAUUGAAGUCGGGUAAGACCAGUACUGGUGCAUGGGUCAGGCGAUACUUCAAGGUCUGAAAGGCUUCCUGUUGAGCUUUUUCCCAAAUGAACCCAAUACUCUUCUUCACCACAGCAGUAAGGGGUGCAGCUAUACUACUGAAAUCCUUGACAAACCGCCUGUAGAAGCUAGCUAGGCCAUGGAAACUUCUAACUUGGCUGAUGUUUGUUGGAGUCGGCCACUCUUGAAUGGCCUUAACCUUCUCUUCAUCAACCUGUAAGCCCUGUGAACUCACAACAAAACCUAGGAAGACAAGUUUAUCAGUGCAGAAUGUGCACUUCUUGAGGUUUGCAUAAAGCCCUUCUUGUCGAAGUGUCUCUAGUACUUGCUCAAGAUGUGUCACAUGAUCAAGUAAACUAGUACUGUAAAUUAAAAUGUCAUCGAAAUAAACCACAACAAACUUACUGAUGUAUGGCCUAAGAAUGUGGUUCAUGAGACGCAUGAAAGUACUAGGAGCAUUGCUAAGUCCAAAUGGCAUCACCAACCAUUCAUAUAGACCUUGCUUUGUUUUAAAAGCUGUCUUCCACUCAUCUCCCUCUUUCAUUCUUACCUGAUGGUACCCACUCUUAAGAUCAAUCUUGGAGAAGAUGGUGGCUCCGCUUAGCUCAUCUAACAUGUCAUCAAGCCGUGGGAUGGGGUGUCUAUACUUGAUGGUGAUGUUGUUGAUGGCUCGGCAGUCUACACACAUUCUCCAUGUCCCGUCCUUCUUUGGUACAAGUAAGACAGGCACAGCGCAAGGACUGAGACUCUCCCUCACGUAUCCUUUGUCUAAUAGGUCCUGCACUUGUCUCUCCAACUCCUUAGUCUCUUCCGGGUUCACCCUAUAAGCCGGUUUGUUUGGCAGGGCAGCUCCUGGCACAAAAUCUAUCUGGUGCUCAAUGCCUCGGAGUGGGGGUAAACCGUGCGGAAUCUCCUCUGGAAACACAUCUUUGAACAUGUCAAGAAGCUUAGUAAUCUCUGGAUGAAGAGUUAACUCAUCAGAACCUGCACUCAAAAGCUCCUUAAAGAUCAUUAGUAGCAUUGUGUGUUUGGUAGUAGCAGCCUUUCUUACACAGCUAGAACGGAUAAGAAAGUUUGAUUUAACAGACUUUUCCUUUUCCUUAACCAUUUGCAAAUGAAUUUCAUGAACUUGUGUUGGAGUGAGAGGCGCUAAGCUUAUCUUACGCUUAUCAUGCAUGAAUGUAUACAUAUUAGUUCUACCAUCAUGCUUAGUUUCUCUAUCCCACUGCCAUGGUCUUCCUAGCAAUACAUGUCCAGCUUGCAUAGGGACUACGUCACAAACUACUUCAUCUUGAUACUUACCAAUGCUAAAUGGAAUGCUCACUUGUUCCUUAAUUUUAAGCUCAACCUUAUCAUCUAACCACCUUAGCCUAUAUGGAUGCGGAUGCUUUGUCUUUUCUAAACCAAGUUUUUCUACCAUGUAAGCGCUAGCAGCAUUGGUACAAGACCCACCAUCUAUAAUAAGGUUACAUACCUUGCCUUUUAUGGUGCAACGGCUGUGGAAUAUGUUUUCUCUUUGGAUUGUCUCGGCGGGUUGAACUAAGACGCUAAGCACACGUCGGAUCAUCAAGCUCUCUCCCACAUCAGCAUAUUCAACUUCUCCAUACUCUUCUUGAAUCUCAGGUACUUCUCCUUCAUCACGAGAUUCAUAGCCAUCAUCGGUGAGCAGCAUAACCCUCUGGUUUGGGCACUCUCUUGCCAUGUGCCCUCGGCCUCUACAUUUGAAACAGGUGAUGUCUCUGGCACGUUGGGGGUUGGUAGCUUUGGCUGGCUCGGUUUUGUUGUCCUUCGUGGGUUCGGUGGUGCGAGGCUUAGGCCGGCUGUCUCCUUCAACCCCUUUUCCUUUGUCCACCGACUUGUUGUAGUUGCUAUUGCUUGAAUUCCAAGAAACUUGAGACUUGCCCUUGGAGCUCUUCUUCUUGAUGUGUUGUUCAGCUUGGAUAGCUAGAUGGAACAGGUCCUUCAUGUCAGCAUAAACAUGUCUCUCCACCUUGCAGCUUAUCCUCUCCUGUAAACCAUCAAGGAAUUGAGCCAUGGUAGCUUCCUCAUCUUCAUUAAGGUCCAAACGGUUUCUUAAUUUCUCAAACUCUUCAUAGUACUCUUCCACUGACUUGCUGCCUUGCUUGAGUGCCCGUAACUUCCUUUGCAAGUCUCUGUGAAAGUGUUGUGGCACAAACCGUUGCUUCAUCGCAUCUUUCAUGUCUAGCCAAGAGUCUAGUUGCCUCAAUCCGUUCCUUCUCCUAUCGGAGCACAAUCUAUCCCACCAGGAAAGUGCAUUGUCCGUGAGCUGAGCUACUGCCAAAGCAACUCUUUUAGGACCAGGGUGGUUAUAGUAGGCAAAAAUGUGAUCCAUCCUUUUCUCCCAGUCUAGGUAAGCUUCUGGAUCAACCUUCCCCGCAUAGCCGGGAGCAUUCAUCUUGAUGUGCUCUGGCCCUUGGUUAUAGUUUUGUUGGCGUGGGGCUCGGUGUUGAGGUAGGAGUUCCUCUUCUUCAAACCCUUGGUGCCGGUUUUGCCUGCGUGGAGCUCGGGGUUGAGGUGCAAACCCUUCCUCCUCUUCUUCUUCACCAUAGUCAUCUGGUGGCAACCCUGCUCUCUGGUUUGGUAUUGGACCGUGCUGCUGUCCCGUGUCUUCAUCAGUCUGCUGGUUCCGGGUGCUAGUCUCCGGGUUGUCAUGGACGGGCACUCCAUAUCUUCUGUUGUUUGGAUUCAAGAACCUAUCAACGUUCCGUACUGGUUGCAAAGGAGGAGGUCUUUGCUCAACUCUAGUCAUCCUUUCCCCAAGGUCUUGCCGCAUAACCCUCAUCUCUUCUCUCAAAGCGUUGAGGACUUGCAUCAUGGUAGCUUGCUCACUCGCUUCUCCCAUGUAUGCGGUUGAGUUGUACCUUGCAAGAUAAACAAGAGAUGCCUUAGCUUUUCAAUAGGUAAAUAAGAAAGAAAACGAGAAAGAAAAGAUACAAAUUUCCUUUUUUUGUUUUUUUUUAUAAAUUCGAAUAGGCAAUAGACACUAAUAAAAGCUGUAGUAGUAAUAGAAUUGGAAAGACUUGGAAAAGGUGAUCGACCGGGAAGGAAACAAUUUGAAAACUCUUUGCAAAAAUGGAAACCGAAUUAUGCAAUCCUAGCAACACGUUUUUAUUUUUUUUUUUUUUUUUUGACUUGAUGAAGAUUAAAACUAAGCAGAACAGGAUGUAACAAUCGGAUGCAAGCAAGAUGUGAAGAAAACAACUAAGUGCAACAAUGAAACGCGAUCUCUUUAUUUGGUUUUAUGAUUUCAUGAAAGCAGAAACAAUGAAUCACAAAUCGGAUGCAAAUAGAAGAGACAAGGAUAGAUAUAACCUGAUGCUGAAGGAACUUCAGCUCUGAUACCAGAAAUGAUACAAGCCUAAGCUAUCAAAGGCUGUACGUUCCCAAGCAAGAGAGAAGGAGCCGAUCUAACACAAGGGUGAUCCGGAUGGACUGAUCUAAUCAACCAAGGGAUCUGAACUGGAACUGUAUGAUGGGAUGAAGUGCACCACACGAGAGAUGGGGAGGCUCGUGAUACAACACAAGGUUCCUCUAGGCCGUGGAGGUACUGGUCUCACAAGGCAAAGAGAAGGAGGCGAGUUCUAGCUUGAGAGCUCUAGGGUUUUCUUUAAAAGAAAAGUUUAUGAUUAUUCAAAGUCUGCCCCAAAAGUGGGCUUGCGAAAACAUAUAAAUAGGACUAAGGGAACAGGCUCCACUUAGGUCACGAAAGUACAAAUAAGGAAACAAACUAUAAUGUAAAACAUGAAAUAAGGUCAUGAGGCUUCUUAGCCUUGGAUCGAACUUGGCACUUGGGAUAAGUGUGAAGCAAGUUGUGGCCUCGUUAAAAACCUUCUCUGGAAAACCCAUUUGGGACAAAACCAAGAGUAAGGGAAAAAGAGCACACACAAAGAGCUUGGCCUAGUUGCUAGAUUCGUCCAAGAGACUUGCUAGGCAAGUUGAUCUUCCAUGGUAAUGAUCAUCAGGUUGGUGUGGCAUUGCUCCGGGAUGAAUGGCCACAUAUCCUCACUUGAUGCUUGUUUCUCCUUAACCGGUUCUGCAUCCUUUAGUUCAUCUUGCUUCAAGCUUGGUUCACCAGCCAGUUUAACCUGUCCAAGAUCAGAAGCAAGUAUCAUGCUCUCAUUAAAUUUAUGUUGAAGUACCUUAGCUCUUUGUCUAGUGAUAGCUCCCUUGAAUACGGUUGGUACUGGCACUUCUUGGACUGUCUCUGAUUUGGUUAUGUUGCUGAUCAUGUCCUGGAUAUCAGGUUCAGUUAAGUCUGGUUCCGGCUCUGGUUGAAUAUCCUCAUCAAAGAGUCUGGUAACACCCUUGGAAACACCCUUGGUUAUUCCUAUACUGCUCAUGUGUUGCCUAGAACUUGUGAUAACUUGCUAGGACACUUUGAUAGGAUGGGAAAUGAACCUGAUAGAUAUACAACCUUUGCUGCUGAUAGGAUGUCUAGAAAUGAAUCCACAUUGCUUGAUCUCAUUGAUAAAUUGAAACUGGUAAAAGAAUCACCUAGGAAUCAUAUUGCUCAAGGAAUAAAACCAUUGAUUAUUGAUUCAGGUGCUUCACACCAUAUGAUAAGUGAUGAUAGCCUUAUAAAGAACAUAGAACCGGCUCAUGGACAUGUAAUGAUUGCAAAUGGUGAUAGAAUUCCUAUUAGAGGUGUAGGAGACUUGAAACUGUUUAAUAAGGAUUCUAAAGCUUUGUACAUGCCUGAGUUUACUUCUAAUCUAUUAUCUGUUAAGAGGUGUACCAAUGAUCUUCAAUGCAAUGUUAUUUUCAGUCCUAAUGAUGUGAAAUUUCAGGAUAUUGAAAGCAGUAAGUUGAUUGGGCAAGGAGUAACCAAAGGAGACCUUUAUUUACUUGAAGACCUUUCUAUCAUUUCUAGUUCUAGUUGCUUGUUGAGUUCCGUUCUAAGUAGAGGUGCAUUGUGGCAUUCUAGGCUAGGACAUCCACAUGUUAGAGCCUUAAGCUUAAUGUUACCAGGUGUCAUGUUUAAAAAUAAUGAGUGUGAAGCUUGUAUUUUGGGAAAACAUUGUAAGACUGUGUUCAAGAGAUCUACUACUAUCUAUGAUAAAUGCUUUGAUCUUGUUCAUUCUGAUGUAUGGACUGCUCCAUGUGUUAAUCAGAGUUGAGACAUUUGAGGUAAAGACACAAAGGAGUUGAGAACAUAAAGAGAGCAAAGAGGUGAAGAGGAGGAAUGGGUUGAUCAUCCGUACAAGGCCGUACAAGUGAUCAUCCGUACAAGGUAAAAGGGAUCAAGUAACUAUCCAAGUAACUCCCAUGUACUGAGCUUAAGUUACACUCGGCCAAGACCUUAUCCGAACGUUGAGAGGAUAAGGGAGACGCGGCUUGACAGCUAGGACAGGCUGGCAAGAGCUGGAAAGGAAGAGCAUCUAGUCUUGGAUCAAGAAGAUGCUCCAAACGUGUGAAGACACUCAUUGGCCGGUUCAAAUUAAAGCUUAGGCUCCUCUUUGACUCUACAUGCUUACUUAGCUUUAUGAUUUCGAAAACCCUAAGUGUAUGGACCUAUAUAUAUGUAAUCUCAUCUCUUAAUAAAGAUUAGACAGUUCUAAACAAUCUUUCUCUUUACUCAUUUCAUCAUGAUUCUUCAUUAGUCUCUAAUCAGUUUCGUAAAUCUCUUAUUCUCUUCCUUAAUCCUAUUCUAAACUCAGAUUAAUCUUUAUAUUCCUAAAAGUCAUAUGGUAUCAGAGCCAGGUUGAUUACAAUCUGAGUUCGUGAGUGAUUCUCUUAAGGAUUCAAGUUUGAAACUUUAAGAGAACAAGUGAGUGUGUUUGAGAGUUUCUUGAGAGUUCAAAAGCUCAAGGUGUUUUGUGUGUGUCUUGGUGGUCCGUGGGAGGUUCAUUUGAAGACUCAAGAGUGAAUCUGUGUUCUAGAGAGCAGCGUGGGUUCUCAGUUCAAGAUCUAACCGGUUGUUCAAGUUUUAAACGUCAAGCUGUUCAAGAUGGAGAGUGGCAUGAAGAUGAAGGUCGCGGUGACAUUCAAAGGAACCAACUACCUAGUCUGGUCUAGGAUGGUGAAAACUGCUGUGGGAAGCAAGGGUUUGUGGAAGCAUAUCACAUCUGGUGAGGCUCCAAAGGUGAUUACUCAGGGGGGUGAAACGGAGAGUCCCGAGGAGAGCGUUGUAGAGAAGUGGCAACAAGAAGACAUGAUGGUGAUGUCUGUCCUACAUGCCUCUUUGGAGCCGGCUAUACUAGAUGCUUAUAGCUACUGUGAGACAGCCAAGGAGCUGUGGGAUACUCUACAGAAAGUGUAUGGAAACACUUCUAACCUGAACCGAGUGUUUGAAGUCAAGAAGGCAAUCAAUGGGUUAACUCAAGAUGACACGGAGUUCACUUGAUGAGAUCCUAGGAUGAUGCUCUGGAACAGAUGGGAUAAUCCUUGCAGAAACGAAUCAAAAGACUCAAGCUUCUCAAGGUAUGUGGAUCGAAUGGUGACACAAGAGGCUGCGGAAAGGCUUCUUGAUACUCCUAGGCUUAGAUCGGAUAUGACACACCUCUCUAAAGCCCUUGGGCGUUGGAUAUUACACACCAACAGACUGGAUAUUACACACCAGACACACUUCAACUCGUCCAAGACAAGAGAGAAGAGAGAAAAGGGUUUUUGAUAAAAGAUUGCUUAAUGAUAAAGGGGGGGUCACGACCAGAAUAUAAAGAGAGGCCCUUGUACAUGCACAAGGUCUCGAAAAUAGAAAUAAAAAUAAAGGGAACAGGCUCCCUUGGAAACUAAACAAAGACCAAGUUUUCGAAAUUAUUCAAAACAUAAAACAUAUGAUAAAAUAACAUAAGAUAGAUAAUGUGGUUGGUCCGGGAUCAUCAUCUAGGAGAUGUGAAAGUAAACUUGUGGCCUCGUUAAAAACCUUCCUUUGGAAAACCCAGUGGGACAAAACCAAAGGUUAGGAAAAGAGCACACACAAGCUACUUGCCUAGAUGAUGAUUAGCUUGAAGGUGGAGUAGCUUGAAUUGUGGUGAGUGUGUCUUGGUUGAUCAAGCUGCAACCAAGACAAUCUUCUUGCUUCCUUGACAUCUUGAGUAUUUCUCCAUCAGCUUCAUUGAGUUUCUUUGAUCUGGAACAAGUGUUGGGACCUUCAGGAAUGGCUAGGGCAUCUUCAUCUACAAGCUGGUCCAUGAUCACAUCAUCCCCUCCCUCUUGAAAAGGAUUUGACCUCAAAUCUGUUUUAUGUUGGGCUCUCCAUACUACUGAUGCAUUCCUCAAACCUGAUUUACAAACAAUGAAAUAAAGCAAGUUAGUAUAUGAAGAUUUAUCAAAGAGUAAGAGUCUUAUCCCAAAGAGGUUUUUGCUCGGUUUUGGAUGGUAGGCUGCAUCUGGGGGUGCUUCUUUGAUGAGGACGAAGCCAGGGACGCCUUUGUGCUUAUCCUGGUCCAGAUCAGGUGGUUUGAAUCUCUUGUCUUCCUCACGCUUGUAGUUUCUUCUUGUAUGCUUCAAGGUUUCAUCAUAAUCUGCACAUGGCUCUUUUGACAAAGAAAAGUGCAUCAUAUCUGUGUAAACAAUACAAAAAUAAUUCUUGAAGACAUGAUCAAUUACCUUAGGAUGCUCACCUGGUCGCCAUAGAUAGGAUUGAGAUGUUUUGAACUCAGAAAAAUUCAAACAAAGCACACAGAGGAUCAGCCGACUUGUAGAACCCAUAACUCUUUCAUCGGAGAAGCUUUGGUCAUGAUUCCAAUCCGACGUGAGACCCUGAUGAGUUAAGUUUCCAUGGCAGUCGAUUUUGCUGAUUAAUUCCUUGUGGUGAUUGAGAUAUGAUCCUCGGACUGCUCCUAUGUCGAGACUGGCUGCUAGACAGCUUCCAAGGUUUGCUUGUUGUGUCUCCAACUUAGCCAAGGACUCAUCAUUGAUACUCUGAUAACUAUAGGCCCUCUUUUCGAAAAGUGUAGAGCUCAACACAGUUUGACCUGUUCGAACAGCAAGCAAAUCAGGUUUCAUAUUUUUCUUUGAGUUUAGAUAGAUACCUCGGGUUGGUUGCUUUGGAGUUUGUUGUAAGCUAUGUUGAUCUGGUGGUUUCUCUUUGAUUUGAGAAGAAAACAUGAGUUCUUCUCCUGAUCCAGUAAUCACUUCACCAUUUUCUCCAGUGAAUCCUCCAUCUCCACUCAUGGUUUGAUAGUCUUUGUAAUGGUGCUGAAGCUGCUGCAUAUCAGGUGGUUUCCAUAUCUUGACAUGGCCGAGAAGCAAGGAGUUUUGAUCAGCUUCCAACUCUUUAUUGCCCCAACUGGUUCUACUACGAGCAGAGCACUCUCCAAGGAUGAUAAGUAUUCUGGAAUAUGCUCCAGGUUUCCACAAGUAGAACUGUAACCUUCCACCCCAAUCUGAUAUAAGCAGCUCACAGAAUUUGGCUAAACCGAUAUGUUUUGCGGAAUUGACAAUAUCUUGAUGAUCAGGAGGCCAUUUGCUGCGUUUUCUGGUUUGUUGGAUCCAGGAAAGAGUGGGUAACAUUCUCCAAUUGGUUUCGUAGUGAAACUCUUGCUGAUCUGAGACGUGCAUCCCAUUAGCUUCAGAGGGUAAAAGAUCACCAAAAACAAUUGUUGUUGCUGCCGAUUUCUUCUCAAUCACUAUGGGAUUGUUCCUGUGAUUCCACAACUCUCCUCCAGGCUCAAAUACAACAUGUUCCAUGCCCAGUUGGUGUCUUGAAAGCUCUACUGCUCUGGUCUUGUUCCACACAAAAGGACUGAUGAGAAAAGUACCCAAGAAUGUCCUUUGUGUGAGAAUAGACAGAUUAUGGUGUGUGAGUGUUGUUUAGAACAGAGAGUGGUCGGAUUGAAAGAGAACAGAGUGAAGACAGUAAGUGAGAAUUAAAGAGACUGCAAUGGAGCAAAAAAGAGAUUAAGUGAGAUUUGAGAGAGUAUGAGAGAGAUUCUUGUAACCAGAGAUUAGGGAGAGUAUAAGAGACUUGAGAAUGGUGAAGAAGAAAGGGGAAACUCCCCCAUUCAGCUUAAUUUCGUAAUGGUUACAAUGGGGUGGCUUUAUAGCCAGAUUACAAGUUGCAAGUGAUUAAACAAUUGUUAAAGUACAGAAUUACUAAACUAAUACUAUUGUAGGGUUUCUGAUGGAGCCAGGAGGAUGCAGCCAAGGAGAAUCUCGACCAGAGGGAGUAGAGAGUGACAGGAGAGAGAUGGGCACAGUCUGGUUGGGUGAAAGUGACAGCAGGCUCAUCUCCUUAUGCACAUGUGACUUUUAUCUUAAUUAAUUCUCCAACUUGCCAGAUCUCUCUCCAACGGUCUCACACUUAAUUUAAACUUCAAAUAUGCUUCAGAAAGCUCAGCUGGACGAGUUCCCCACUUGCCUUGACUUCCAAGACACUCUAGGUUAGGUUUGGUUACUUGCAAGCCAAAACUGUACGGACAGAUUCAAAUCUGCUUGUUCCGGAUUUGCUUGCUCUUGAUGCUUGGUCUCUUCAUCAACUCCAGCUUCUUACUUCUUCAUUCCAACACUCCCCCUCAAGCUUGACCAUAGGAGAUCCUUGGACAAGCUUGGAACCUUGAAGAAGCUCCCUCAUUAAAAACCUUAGCAAGAAAACCCAUUGGGACAAAACUUGCUAAGGGAAAAAGAGUGGAGUUUCCACAAAGCUUAGGGAUUGGCCAGUGAGCCUAAAGGAACUUCAGAUUCAUCAUGGUGGAGUCCUUAGGCUCUGGAUCGUGGCCUAAUAGGUAUAGCAAGUAUGAAUCACCAUAACUUGCUAUUCUUGAGCACAAGUAGCCGGCUGGAUCAUUUUGUGGCCGGUUUAGGGUCUCCCCCUCUCAACUGGCUUCAAGCCACCUUAGGAAGGCAAGGAAACGACCAGACCAUCUUCUCUGAACCCCCAGCAAAGUUACUUGUUCUUUAGAACUUGGCUUGACCUCUUCAUGGAACCAUAGACUCGGUUAGGGUCUCCCCCUCUCAACUGACUUCUUUGGCCAUCUUAGAAAGGCUAGGACAUGACCGGAUCAUCAUCACCAUCUUCAGUGAGGCUCAAGCUUAUUUUGGUACCUGAUACAUCAUUUCAAAAGUGCAUCAGUUCUUAAGGAAAUGCACUCAUCACAUCAAACUCAAUAAUAGUUUAAGUAUAAGGACAAUCAUGAAUGUAUUGAGAUGAGUUUAAGGUGCUUCCCUUUUAUAAAAAUGGUCAGGAGUGGACUCCAAUUGAAUCCCCACUUGGUAAGACACAGUCCGGAUUAUGGAAGCUCAAUCACACACUUGGAACUGAGCUUCUUUGAUCCGGUUGGUACUGAGUAAUGCACGAGUGAAUCCACCACUUGCAAACUCCACUUUUGAUCAGAGGUGAGGCAAUGAACGACUUGGAUUGGCGCCAGUUGCUUCACCGUCAAAUCACCUUUGAGCUUCUUCUUAUGACCUGAGCUUGUCUCCCCCUUUCUUCUGGCUUCUUGCCUCCAUUUAGGAGUUGAGACAAAGCUUUUCUUUGUUCAUGAGCUCAAUAGGUACCUGAUUCAAUCAUCCAAAAAAUGCAUGUAUCAAUUCUCAAGGGGCAAACCUAUUCACACAUAAGAAUAAUAAUGGUUUUAGGUACUUCCCUUGCAUCAGUUUGUUGAAUGUUGGUGAGGAUUACUAAGCACUUGAAUCCUCCACGCCAUUCCUUCUCUCAACCAGCCUUUGCAUUGUUCUCUUGAAGUUUCAACAUGUAGGGGGACUUUGCAACUCCAUAAUUUGCCACCAUCAUGUGAUUGCUUAGCCAAGAAUGUCCCUGAUUGAAUAAUCCUUGCAUCUGGCUGGUAAGAACAGUGAGGAGUGACAGCUUCUUCAGUUUGAUCACUUAAGUCCUCUUUUAAUUCGCCAACCUCUUGCUGGUCUUCUAUGAGGAAAUGGGACACUGGAUACAGUAAGCUUCAUGGAUCUUUUGGUAGCUCACUGAUAUUCCCCUCCUCAAGCUUGACUGAGUAUAGUGACAAGCUUGAACGUGAGCUUCAAUGAGUUUUGAACUGGGAGCACAACAAUACCAACAUCUGCGCUUAAGCCAACCAGUUCACCAUCUUCCAGGAGCACAACAAUACCAACAUCUGCGCUUAAGCCAACUGGAUCACCAUUUGCCUUCAGCUCCAAUGUCUUUGGACCACCAGUCUCCUCAUGACUUAGGUGAUGGCCUUCCUUGUGAGUCUCUUGAACCAGGAGCACAACAGCUCCUACGCCUGCGCUUAAGCCAACUGAUUCCACUCACAAGGUAUCUUUACAUGGUCAGGACUAAACACCUUGAUCCAUGCCUCUGACCACCGGCCACUCUUGGCUUAGUGAUGGCCUUUUCUCUUGAGUGCACCUCCUGUACAUCCUCUUGGCAUAAGGUAAGUCACUUCUGAGCAGUUUCUCCAAUUCUCCAACAUCCUUUCUAUCUUCAGGGUAGGAAAUGGGCAGACACAUAGAUAGGAUUUGGGACUGGGCAAUCUCCACGGUUCAGGAAUAUCCAUCUUGGGAGGCUCUGAAAAACGUGGGCAAUGCCUUCUUCUUUGUCUUAGUUUAAUGAUGGACAGAGAUCACCUCUUGUGUACCUGAAACAUCACUCAAACUCCAGCAAGAAUCAGACCACACACACUAGGAUCAGCCCUUGAUAAUUCACCAAGUCUGAUCCCAAUGUUUUAAGAGAAAGAAAAUAUGCAAUGAACAGAAUCUACACAACUCAUUCAGUUCAACUCCAUGCAUACUAACAUCACUAACUGCUCAGGUAUGAUAACUCAUCAAUAACAAGGCAAUUAGGCUCUUUUUAUGAAUUUUAAAGACAAUAAACAGAGACUAAACAACUCAUCUAAUCAUCUUGAACAAUAUAUAUAUAAUGCAAUACAAGAUCAGGAGACUCUCCUAGACCUUUAUCAAUGCAACCAGACAAUGACAGUAGCUAAACAAAUCGCCUAGCACAAUACAAACAGAAACAAUUAAUCUAGGACAGGAACUAGACAAUACCAUGCUAGAAAACUCCUAGAAGUAAUUUAAGAAACAGAGCAACACACACAAUUUAAGUAUCAUGGGACAGAAACUAGGUUCAACAACUCUAGCAACUUGAACCUGUCCCAAGGAUACCAAACACACCACUCAACACAACCAGACAUAACUACUCAAGCUCUUAUUACAGGUAGGAGGUUAACUUACAAACAAGGAACCUGAGCUGGUUCCUUGAACCUCCAAGGCACACUGUUCACUUGAACUUGACAGCUUUGGAGUUUGGGAUCUCUACCCCACGCCAUUUCCUUGUGUGUGCUUUCCCUUUAGACCACUCAUGCUUAAGACCCCUCCUUUCUUCCUGAUUACCAGGCGCCACCUUCUGGCACACAGUGAGAGACUCCACUUUGGGAAGAACUUGAAAAACACUUGUACAGACUUGGUUUGGAGCAUUGCUUGCCAAACAGCUCCAAAACCUUCUUUCUCCAAGAGAUCUCUUCAGGCUGAACAGGAGGAAGGGUGAUAGACCUUGGGAAGUCUCUGGACACGCCAUGUUUGUAGUCUUCUUCCUCUUGAAGAGAUUGAACAGCUGGCUGGACAGAAACUCUCCAAUGAUUUGAAAUAACAAUGAGGGUGAGCCUAUGCUUGAAUUGUGGAAGCUUUGAGUUUCAGAUACUAAAGACCUCCUUUAUCUUGAGUUCUGGUGAGUCUCUUCCCUCCUGGAAAAGCUUUAGACCAGAGGAUACGGAUGAACAGAAACAGAGAUUUUUUUUUUUUUGAAGAGAAGAAUGAACUGUAAUAGAUUUGCGGAAGCUCUAUGGAUUCUCAGGAGCUUGGAGCUCUGAUACCAUGUGAGAAUAGACAGAUUAUGGUGUGUGAGUGUUGUUUAGAACAGAGAGUGGUCGGAUUGAAAGAGAACAGAGUGAAGACAGUAAGUGAGAAUUAAAGAGACUGCAAUGGAGCAAAAAAGAGAUUAAGUGAGAUUUGAGAGAGUAUGAGAGAGAUUCUUGUAACCAGAGAUUAGGGAGAGUAUAAGAGACUUGAGAAUGGUGAAGAAGAAAGGGGAAACUCCCCCAUUCAGCUUAAUUUCGUAAUGGUUACAAUGGGGUGGCUUUAUAGCCAGAUUACAAGUUGCAAGUGAUUAAACAAUUGUUAAAGUACAGAAUUACUAAACUAAUACUAUUGUAGGGUUUCUGAUGGAGCCAGGAGGAUGCAGCCAAGGAGAAUCUCGACCAGAGGGAGUAGAGAGUGACAGGAGAGAGAUGGGCACAGUCUGGUUGGGUGAAAGUGACAGCAGGCUCAUCUCCUUAUGCACAUGUGACUUUUAUCUUAAUUAAUUCUCCAACUUGCCAGAUCUCUCUCCAACGGUCUCACACUUAAUUUAAACUUCAAAUAUGCUUCAGAAAGCUCAGCUGGACGAGUUCCCCACUUGCCUUGACUUCCAAGACACUCUAGGUUAGGUUUGGUUACUUGCAAGCCAAAACUGUACGGACAGAUUCAAAUCUGCUUGUUCCGGAUUUGCUUGCUCUUGAUGCUUGGUCUCUUCAUCAACUCCAGCUUCUUACUUCUUCAUUCCAACACUUUGGAAACCGUUUGAAUCAGUGACAAAUAGAUGCUCUACUCCACUGUCUGAUUUUGAUUCCAUGGGUGCCUCCUCUUCUAUUACAUCCUGUUUGAAGAGAAUCAGGUCGUCCUUGAUGGGUUGAUCAUCUUUCUGAAUGGUGAUUGUUGGAAUCUCGGUUUGAUCUUCUUGAACUAGUGCAGCCAAGUCUGAUUGUGCAACUGAGUCUGGUUCUGCAUCUUUGAGUUCUGAGACAGUUGAGGAAAGCGCUUGGUUCUGUACUUCUAAGGAUGGAGAUAUAGUCUUGGACUGUUUAAGUUGUUUCUCUACAUCCCUAAACGCUUGUGAAAUUGCCUUCCUUAUGCUAUCUUCAAAGGAAUAGGUUGAUGUUUUGCUUGAUGAAACCAGGUUACUAGAUGGACUUGAUCUCUUGCUGUCUGGUUGUUUCUGAACUGAUAAUGAAGAACAUAGCUUUGUCUCAGGCUGCUUUUGAAUAACUUCCUUGUGGUACUGUCUUGGAACGUACUCUCUACGCAUCAAAGCCCUCAGCUUAAGCCAUGUUUCCACUGGUUCUUUUCCAUCAAGUCUUCUGCACUUUAUCAACUGAUUCCACCAUCUUAAAGCAUGACCACAAAACUCAGCAGUAGCCAUUUGAAUCUUCUUUUUUUUAGCAUAGUGUUGACUACUGAAAAUCAACUCAAUCUUCUUUUCCCACUUCACAUAAGCUUCAGGAUCAGCCUGGCCAUGAAAAGAAGGAAUUUGAUAUUUCAAUCCAGCAUGCUUCCAGUUUCUGUCCAUCUGAUCAAACUCCUUUUUCUUGUACUCAUCUCUGGAUGAUCUGCCUUUCCUUUGCUGCUGUAUGUCUUGUCUGAAUUUUCUCAAUUGAUCUUUGCAGGCUUUAUCCAUACUGGCUGUGAAUUCUUCAAGAAAAAGCUUUUCUUUCUUGCUGAGUUCUCCUUUUUGAUCUCCUGCCAUGGUACCUGAGACAAGAGAAAGACUAAGCCAGUAAAUAGUUCUACAGAGAAAACAAAAAAAACAAUUUGCAAAAUCAGAGAUUCAAAUUGAAGCUUAAAACUUUAGACAAUUCUCAGAACAAAUUCAAACUCAACCAAUGAUUUAAAAGAGAUCAAAACUAAUCAGAACAGAAUUGAAAUCUUAAGCCUAUCAGAUCAGAUUGAUUUCGAAACUAGAACAAAAAAAUGGAGAGAUAGAUUUCGAUUUCAGAUUCAAGCACAGAUUUUUCAAAACAAAAAUAUCAAAACGAAAUCAAUCAAACUUGCACUACACGGAUUAGGUUUCAAAAUAUCAAUCAACACACGAUCAGAGAUGAUAUGAUAACAGAUGAUGAGAUUUAGAUCAAGCAAGAACAGAUCUAAAACAAUAAGAACAGAUCGACUGCAAUCAACAAACAGAUUCAGAUCAAGCAAUCGGAUAACUUGAUAAACAAGGAUCCGAACAGUCUAAUACCCAAAACAAGAUCUAAUUAACCCAAAUUCGAUAGAUUUCUUCACAAGGAACACAGAUCAACACGAAAUCAAAGAGUAUAUGAAGAGACUUCACCAGAUUCGUGAUCAAAAACACUUAGAUCUAACAGAUUUCAACAAUAGAAACACAAAUCGAUCAAAAUCUCAACAGAAUAUGAAGAGAUCAAAUCAAAAAUCAGAGAGAAAAAUCAAACACUUCCCUUCCAGAGUUGCUCUGAUACCACUUGAUGAGAUCCUAGGAUGAUGCUCUGGAACAGAUGGGAUAAUCCUUGCAGAAACGAAUCAAAAGACUCAAGCUUCUCAAGGUAUGUGGAUCGAAUGGUGACACAAGAGGCUGCGGAAAGGCUUCUUGAUACUCCUAGGCUUAGAUCGGAUAUGACACACCUCUCUAAAGCCCUUGGGCGUUGGAUAUUACACACCAACAGACUGGAUAUUACACACCAGACACACUUCAACUCGUCCAAGACAAGAGAGAAGAGAGAAAAGGGUUUUUGAUAAAAGAUUGCUUAAUGAUAAAGGGGGGGUCACGACCAGAAUAUAAAGAGAGGCCCUUGUACAUGCACAAGGUCUCGAAAAUAGAAAUAAAAAUAAAGGGAACAGGCUCCCUUGGAAACUAAACAAAGACCAAGUUUUCGAAAUUAUUCAAAACAUAAAACAUAUGAUAAAAAUAACAUAAGAUAGAUAAUGUGGUUGGUCCGGGAUCAUCAUCUAGGAGAUGUGAAAGUAAACUUGUGGCCUCGUUAAAAACCUUCCUUUGGAAAACCCAGUGGGACAAAACCAAAGGUUAGGAAAAGAGCACACACAAGCUACUUGCCUAGAUGAUGAUUAGCUUGAAGGUGGAGUAGCUUGAAUUGUGGUGAGUGUGUCUUGGUUGAUCAAGCUGCAACCAAGACAAUCUUCUUGCUUCCUUGACAUCUUGAGUAUUUCUCCAUCAGCUUCAUUGAGUUUCUUUGAUCUGGAACAAGUGUUGGGACCUUCAGGAAUGGCUAGGGCAUCUUCAUCUACAAGCUGGUCCAUGAUCACAU
RNAcentral lists this long non-coding RNA (37019 nucleotides) under Brassica rapa (field mustard). Its description in RNAcentral is "long non-coding RNA (BRAP_LNC008804)". The record is from RNAcentral. Lineage: Eukaryota; Viridiplantae; Streptophyta; Magnoliopsida; Brassicales; Brassicaceae.